Molecule: ribosomal RNA, 307 nt
Filed under: uncultured bacterium
Lineage: Bacteria
Description: bacterial SSU rRNA
Rfam family: Bacterial small subunit ribosomal RNA
Source: RNAcentral
AACGAACGCUGGCGGCAUGCCUAACACAUGCAAGUCGAACGAGACCUUCGGGUCUAGUGGCGCACGGGUGCGUAACGCGUGGGAACCUGCCCUUAGGUUCGGAAUAACUCAGAGAAAUUUGAGCUAAUACCGGAUAAUGUCUUCGGACCAAAGAUUUAUCGCCUUUAGAUGGGCCCGCGUAAGAUUAGCUAGUUGGUGGGGUAAAGGCCUACCAAGGCGACGAUCUUUAGCUGGUCUGAGAGGAUGAUCAGCCACACUGGGACUGAGACACGGCCCAGACUCCUACGGGAGGCAGCAGUGGGGAAUA